UUCGUUUGUGCAGUUUUGGUUUCUGAGAUAUUAAAAAUUAUUUUUUAGGUCAUCUAGAGUUCACCAUCCCCCCAUAGCGCUCCAAAAGAAACCAAAGUGGGCUAGUUCGUUAGUGCUCCGUUUGUGCAGGUUUGUGCAGUUAAACCUGUCGUUUGUGCAGCUUUUGUUUUUGAGAUAUUAACAAUUAUAUUUACAUUGUUGACGUACUGUCUGCUGAUUAUGCGAGAAGCCUUUCGCUGCAGCGCCUUUUGGAUAUCCAACUCCGCCCAUCCAAGUCGGCCAUUUUGAUGACGUCAUGCGGCUAUGAGCUUUCUUAGUGCAAACAAAACUUUACUGCCCAUAGCAAAUCGGAAAACGAACGAUGUCGAUCUGUCAGUGUGCAGACCAGACUGUUGGGGCCUACCCCAUUUAAGACAUCUGCUUGCCAGAUCAGGCAUCAGAGUCACAGGUUGACUAUGUGCUCGAUGCCAGAACAUCAGAAACCAAGAAUAUUGGGACAAUUGGCACUACCAACUUAAAACGGCAAGACUUCCAGUCACUUGGUUUGCAGCACAACUUGGAAGCGACAAUUGCCAACAGCUGCAUGGAGCUCAUUUGUGACAUGGCCUGGUGGAAGAAGAAGGAUGUGUAUGCACCGGA
Molecule: long non-coding RNA, 639 nt
Organism: Fundulus heteroclitus (mummichog)
Lineage: Eukaryota; Metazoa; Chordata; Actinopteri; Cyprinodontiformes; Fundulidae
Exons: 5
Source: RefSeq, a predicted model, not a curated record